This 763-nucleotide ribosomal RNA is filed under the name uncultured Bacilli bacterium. RNAcentral's name for it is "bacterial SSU rRNA". It matches the Rfam family "Bacterial small subunit ribosomal RNA", at positions 57 to 776 of the family's 1533-position model. Lineage: Bacteria; Bacillati; Bacillota; Bacilli. The record is from RNAcentral.
GCAAGUCGAACGCGUUGGCCCAACUGAUUGAACGUGCUUGCACGGACUUGACGUUGGUUUACCAGCGAGCGGCGGACGGGUGAGUAACACGUAGGUAACCUGCCCCAAAGCGGGGGAUAACAUUUGGAAACAGAUGCUAAUACCGCAUAACAAUUUGAAUCGCAUGAUUCAAAUUUAAAAGAUGGCUUCGGCUAUCACUUUGGGAUGGACCUGCGGCGCAUUAGCUUGUUGGUAGGGUAACGGCCUACCAAGGCUGUGAUGCGUAGCCGAGUUGAGAGACUGAUCGGCCACAAUGGAACUGAGACACGGUCCAUACUCCUACGGGAGGCAGCAGUAGGGAAUCUUCCACAAUGGGCGCAAGCCUGAUGGAGCAACACCGCGUGAGUGAAGAAGGGUUUCGGCUCGUAAAGCUCUGUUGUUAGAGAAGAACGUGCGUGAGAGCAACUGUUCACGCAGUGACGGUAUCUAACCAGAAAGUCACGGCUAACUACGUGCCAGCAGCCGCGGUAAUACGUAGGUGGCAAGCGUUAUCCGGAUUUAUUGGGCGUAAAGCGAGCGCAGGCGGUUUGAUAAGUCUGAUGUGAAAGCCUUUGGCUUAACCAAAGAAGUGCAUCGGAAACUGUCAGACUUGAGUGCAGAAGAGGACAGUGGAACUCCAUGUGUAGCGGUGGAAUGCGUAGAUAUAUGGAAGAACACCAGUGGCGAAGGCGGCUGUCUGGUCUGCAACUGACGCUGAGGCUCGAAAGCAUGGGUAGCGAACAGG